CCUACGGGAGGCAGCAGUGAGGAAUAUUGGUCAAUGGGCGUAAGCCUGAACCAGCCAAGUCGCGUGAGGGAUGAAGGUUCUAUGGAUCGUAAACCUCUUUUAUAAGGGAAUAAAGUGCGGGACGUGUCCCGCGUUGUAUGUACCUUACGAAUAAGGAUCGGCUAACUCAGUGCCAGCCGCCGAGGUAAUACGGAGGAUCCGAGCGGUACCCGGAUUUAGUGGGUUUAAAGGGAGCGUAGGCGGCCUUAUAAGUCAGGGGGGAAAGUCACGGGCUCAACCAGAGAAUUGCCGUUGAAACUGGGAGGCUUGAGUGUGUUUGAGGCAGGCGGAAUGCGAGGUGUAGCGGUGAAAUGCUUAGAUAUCACGCAGAACCCCGAUUGCGAAGGCAGCCUGCCAAGCCAUGACUGACGCUGAUGCACGAAAGCGUGGGGAUCAAACAGGAUUAGAUACCCUUGUAGUC
Molecule: ribosomal RNA, 460 nt
Filed under: uncultured bacterium
Lineage: Bacteria
Description: partial 16S ribosomal RNA
Rfam family: Bacterial small subunit ribosomal RNA
Source: RNAcentral